GACGAACGCUGGCGGCGUGCUUAACACAUGCGAGUCGAACGGAAAGGCCCUGGUUUUGUGGGGUGCUCGAGUGGCGAACGGGUGAGUAACACGUGAGUAACCUGCCCUUGACUUUGGGAUAACUUCAGGAAACUGGGGCUAAUACCGGAUAGGAGCUCGUGCUGCAUGGUGGGGGGUGGAAGGUUUCGGGUGUGGGGGAUGGACGCGGGGUUUAUCAGCUUGUGGGUGGGGUAGUGGCUUACCAAGGCUUUGAGGGGUAGCCGGCGUGAGGGGGUGACCGGCCACAUUGGGACAGAGAUACGCCCCAGUCUCAUACGGGAGGCAGCAGGGGGGAAUAUUGCACAAGGGGCGGAAGCCUGAUGCAGCAACGCCGCGUGCGAGAUGACCGCCUUCGGGUUAUAAACCGCUUUCGCCUGUGACGACGCGUGAGUGACGGUACCGGGUAAAGAAGCACCGGCUAACUACGUG
RNAcentral lists this ribosomal RNA (468 nucleotides) under uncultured bacterium. RNAcentral describes it as "partial 16S ribosomal RNA". It matches the Rfam family "Bacterial small subunit ribosomal RNA", at positions 28 to 507 of the family's 1533-position model. The record is from RNAcentral.